RNAcentral lists this ribosomal RNA (507 nucleotides) under bacterium A3S_VP5_B7. RNAcentral's name for it is "bacterial SSU rRNA". It matches the Rfam family "Bacterial small subunit ribosomal RNA", at positions 339 to 834 of the family's 1533-position model. The record is from RNAcentral.
CUAUACGGGAGGCNGCAAUGGGGAAUAUUGCUCAAUGGGGGAAACCCUGAUGCAGCCAUGCCGCGUGUGUGAAGAAGGCCUUCGGGUUGUAAAGCACUUUCAGUUGUGAGGAAAAGUUAGUAGUUAAUACCUGCUAGCCGUGACGUUUACAACAGAAGAAGCACCGGCUAACUCCGUGCCCGCAGCCGCGGUAAUACGGAGGGGGCCAGCGUUAAUCGGAAUUACUGGGCGUAAAGCGCACCCAGGCGGUUUGUUACGCUCCAUGUGAAAGCCCCGGGCUCAACCUGGGAUGGUCAUUUAGAACUGGCAUACAAAAGUCUUGGAGAGGGGAGUGGAAUUCCCGGAGUAACGGUGAAAUGCGUAGAUAUCUGGAGGAACAAUCAGGGGGAAAGGGAACUCCCUGGGCAAAGACUGACUCUCUUGUGCGAAAGUGUGGGUAGCGCAAAGGAUUUAAUACCCCGGUAGUCCCACCCCCCAAACGCUGUCCACCAACUGGGGGGGGCCUUA